RNAcentral lists this ribosomal RNA (119 nucleotides) under Sinocyclocheilus grahami. Lineage: Eukaryota; Metazoa; Chordata; Actinopteri; Cypriniformes; Cyprinidae. The record is from RNAcentral.
GCUUAUGGCCAUACCACCCUGUCUGCGCCUGAUCUCGUCUGAUCUCGGAAGCUAAAUAGGGUCGGGCCUUGUUAGUACUUGGAUGGGAGACUGCCUGGUAAUACCAGGUGCUGUAAGCU